GGUGGUUCUUGGGUGAAGCACCCCAGAAUCGGGCUCCCUCCUCUCUGGUUCCGGGUGCGUCACCUGAGAGAACUGCA
This is a microRNA precursor of Myotis lucifugus (little brown bat), 77 nucleotides long. It matches the Rfam family "mir-9223 microRNA precursor family". NCBI's taxonomy places the organism in Eukaryota, Metazoa, Chordata, Mammalia, Chiroptera, Vespertilionidae. The record is from Rfam.